UGGAUUAUCUUCUUACACAUUGUUGAAUCUUGUGUGUUAGAUUGUUAACAUAUACUUGCCUCUGAAAUCUGAAUAAAACACAAAUUCCUCAAAAAUGCCUUCAUGCAUGGUUCUUUAUAUAUCCUGAUUUAUAGUAUUCAAAAAUAAUUUUCAAACCCACAUAAUUAUCACUAAAAUUUGAUCAAUUAUUAUUUUAAUCUGAACUUUUACCACUUCCUACAUUUUUUAUAUGGGGUUAAUGCUCUAUUUCGUCACUCUACUCGACUAAAAUUUUCAGUUGGCCUACCGAGUCAAAAAAGUUUUCAUUUAAAUAACAAAGUAUCCAAAAAUUUUCAAUUACAAGAUCAAGUUUAAAAAACAUUUCAACGCCGUUAGGCAGGCCUUUGACUUUAACGGAUAAAGUUAGUUUUAACGGAUUUGUAUUUCCCCCCAAUAAAAUUAGGGUUCUUAAACUAGUGUUAGGGUUUAAAUUGGGGGCUUCUGACUCCUGGUAGUGUUUUGUGCAAUAGAGGGGUUAAUUGGUUUUGGGUGGUGAAGAGGGUGAUACAGGGCAUACGAGUUAAGCCGGAGGAGAGGUCAGAGGCCACCUGGACCACCGUCAACGACUACUCUAUCUUUCUGGUACUGCUGGGGAUAGAGAAGCUUGGAGAUCAUGGAGAAUAAUUCAAGAAUCAGACCUUACACGUUGCUGUUGCAUUUGAAGACGAAGAGUCCCAUGAUCGCCCUCUCAUGCUCACUGAUGCCAUCUGAUUUUCCCCCAAAAUUAACUUCUCCACACCGAUGCUGCUGCUGUAUACAAACUGAUGGUAGUAUCAUAUUGUUUUAAAAAGAAAGGACUGGGAGAGGUAGUGGAGAGGAGAGAGAAUAUCUCUGUUAAAAAUUAACGGAAUGACCUAAUUGAAAGUUUUAGAUGAUAUAAUUAGUUGACCGAAAACUUUUUUGACUCGGUAGUCCAGUUGAAAGUUUUAGUCCAGUCCAAUGACCAAAUAGA
RNAcentral lists this long non-coding RNA (991 nucleotides) under Daucus carota (carrot). Its description in RNAcentral is "long non-coding RNA (DCAR_LNC005316)". The record is from RNAcentral. Lineage: Eukaryota; Viridiplantae; Streptophyta; Magnoliopsida; Apiales; Apiaceae.